This 321-nucleotide ribosomal RNA is filed under the name uncultured Prevotella sp. RNAcentral's name for it is "bacterial SSU rRNA". It matches the Rfam family "Bacterial small subunit ribosomal RNA", at positions 28 to 339 of the family's 1533-position model. The record is from RNAcentral. Lineage: Bacteria; Pseudomonadati; Bacteroidota; Bacteroidia; Bacteroidales; Prevotellaceae.
GAUGAACGCUAGCUACAGGCUUAACACAUGCAAGUCGAGGGGCAGCAUGAAGAUUGCUUGCAAUCUUUGAUGGCGACCGGCGCACGGGUGAGUAACGCGUAUCCAACCCUUCCCCCAAGUAGGGAAUAGCCCGGCGAAAGUCGGAUUAAUGCCCUAUGUUUUCCUUGGAUGGCAUCUGAUGAGGAACAAAGACUUGUCGCUUGGGGAUGGGGAUGCGUCUGAUUAGGCAGUCGGCGGGGUAACGGCCCACCGAGCCAUCGAUCAGUAGGGGUUCUGAGAGGAAGGUCCCCCACAUUGGAACUGAGACACGGUCCAAACUCC